Oncorhynchus tshawytscha (Chinook salmon) is the source of this 511-nucleotide long non-coding RNA. The record is from Ensembl. Lineage: Eukaryota; Metazoa; Chordata; Actinopteri; Salmoniformes; Salmonidae.
CAACCAUGUAUGUUUGCAGGUUUGAGUGAUUCAACCAUGUAUGUUUGCAGGUUUCAGUGAUUCAACCAUGUAUGUUUGCAGGUUUGAGUGAUUCAACCGUGUAUGUUUGCAGGUUUGAGUGAUUCAACCGUGUAUGUUUGCAGGUUUGAGUGAUUCAACCAUGUAUGUUUGCAGGUUUGAGUGAUUCAACCGUGUAUGUUUGCAGGUUUGAGUGAUUCGAACUGAUGUAUGUUUGAAGGUUUGAGAGAGUCGAACCGUAUGAUUGUGGUACAUUAGGUAUUAAGUCGAUGUUCUAAUACCAAGUUUGUAUGACCUUCGGGUAAAUAACAGGUGUGAGACCUAGGUUAUGUUUUGAAACGGUAAAGGAGAAGUGCACGGUGUUUACUAGACAGUGGCUAGAUUGGGACACAUUCUAAGGCAGCACACAAUUGAACCUGAUCAUUUAUAUUGUAUUCAAAUUAAAACAAGUAAUUGAAAUACAUUAGACAAUGGCUAAUCAGGAGGCAGAGAA